This 84-nucleotide transfer RNA is filed under the name Candidatus Aenigmatarchaeota archaeon. Its description in RNAcentral is "tRNA-Ser". It matches the Rfam family "tRNA". Rfam says of the family: Transfer RNA (tRNA) molecules are approximately 80 nucleotides in length. Their secondary structure includes four short double-helical elements and three loops (D, anti-codon, and T loops). Further hydrogen bonds mediate the characteristic L-shaped molecular structure. tRNAs have two regions of fundamental functional importance: the anti-codon, which is responsible for specific mRNA codon recognition, and the 3' end, to which the tRNAs corresponding amino acid is attached (by aminoacyl-tRNA synthetases). tRNAs cope with the degeneracy of the genetic code in two manners: having more than one tRNA (with a specific anti-codon) for a particular amino acid; and 'wobble' base-pairing, i.e. permitting non-standard base-pairing at the 3rd anti-codon position. RNAcentral also lists the same sequence under 1 other name. Lineage: Archaea; Nanobdellati; Candidatus Aenigmatarchaeota. The record is from RNAcentral.
GCCGAGAUCGCAUAAUCUGGUAGUGCGCUAGCCUGGAAAGCUAGUGGUCGAAAGGCCAUGGGGGUUCAAAUCCCUCUCUCGGCG